GAUGAACGCUGGCGGCGUGCCUAAUACAUGCAAGUCGAGCGAACAGACGAGGAGCUUGCUCCUCUGACGUUAGCGGCGGACGGGUGAGUAACACGUGGAUAACCUACCUAUAAGACUGGUAUAACUUCGGGAAACCGGAGCUAAUACCGGAUAACAUGUUGAACCGCAUGGUUCAACAGUGAAAGACGGUUUUGCUGUCUCUUAUAGAUGGAUCCGCGUCGCAUUAGCUAGUUGGUAAGGUAACGGCUUACCAAGGCAACGAUGCGUAGCCGACCUGAGAGGGUGAUCGGCCACACUGGAACUGAGACACGGUCCAGAGUCCUACGGGAGGCAGCAGAAGGGAAUAUUACGCAAUGGGCGAAAGCAUGACGGAGCAACGCCGAGUGAGUGAAGAAGGUCUUCGGAUCGUAAAACUCUGUUAUUAGGGAAGAACAAAUGUGUAAGUAACUAUGCACGUCUUGACGGUACCUAAUCAGAAAGCAACGGCUAACUACGUG
This 497-nucleotide ribosomal RNA is filed under the name uncultured bacterium. Its description in RNAcentral is "partial 16S ribosomal RNA". It matches the Rfam family "Bacterial small subunit ribosomal RNA", at positions 28 to 507 of the family's 1533-position model. The record is from RNAcentral.